UACGGGGGGGGCAAGCGUUGUUCGGAAUUACUGGGCGUAAAGGGCUCGUAGGCGGCCAACUAAGUCAGACGUGAAAUCCCUCGGCUUAACCGGGGAACUGCAUCUGAUACUGGUUGACUUGAGUUUGGGAGAGGGACGCGGAAUUCCAGGUGUAGCGGUGAAAUGCGUAGAUAUCUGGAGGAACACCGGUGGCGAAGGCGGCGUCCUGGACCAAUACUGACACUGAGGAGCGAAAGCCAGGGGAGCAAACGGG
RNAcentral lists this ribosomal RNA (253 nucleotides) under uncultured bacterium. Its description in RNAcentral is "partial 16S ribosomal RNA". It matches the Rfam family "Bacterial small subunit ribosomal RNA", at positions 524 to 776 of the family's 1533-position model. The record is from RNAcentral.